GAUCGGCCUGUCUCCUAUCAGCUAGUUGGUGGGGUAGGGGCCUACCAAGGCGAUGACGGGUAGCUGGUCUUAGAGGAUGGUCAGCCACAUUGGAACUGCGACACGGUCCAGACUCCUACGGGAGGCAGCAGUGGGGAAUCAUGGUCAAUGGGCGAAAGCCUGAACCUGCGACGCCGCGUGAGUGAUGAAGGUCGUAAGAUCGUAAAACUCUUUUCAGGGAUCUUAACGCACAGCUGUCAACAACAGCUGUGUCUGACUCUCCCUGGAAGAAGCCCCAGCCAACUACGUGCCAGCAGCUGCGGUAAUACGUAGGGGGCGAGCGUUAUUCGGAAUUACUGGGUGUAAAGGGUAUGUAGGCGGCCCUUCAAGUCGCGUGUCAAAGUCCAGUGCUCAACGCUGGGUGUGCGCGCGAUACUGACGGGCUUGAGGGCUGGAGAGGUGAGCGGAAUUCCCGGUGUAGUGGUAAAAUACGUAGAGAUCGGGAGGAACACCAGCGGCGCAGGCGGCUCACUAGACAGUUUCUGACGCUAAGAUACGAAAGCGUGGGGAGCAAACAGGAUUAGAUACCCUGGUAGUCCACGCCCUAAA
This 588-nucleotide ribosomal RNA is filed under the name uncultured bacterium. RNAcentral describes it as "bacterial SSU rRNA". It matches the Rfam family "Bacterial small subunit ribosomal RNA", at positions 224 to 806 of the family's 1533-position model. The record is from RNAcentral.